UACGUAGGGUGCGAGCGUUGCCCGGCUUUAUUGGGCGUAAAGGGCGCGUAGGCGGCCACGCACGUCCGUUGUGAAAUCGCCCGGCUCAACUGGGCGGGGUCGGCGGAUACGGCGUGGCUGGAGCAAGCUAGGGGGCAAUGGAAUUCCCGGUGUAGUGGUGGAAUGCGUAGAUAUCGGGAGGAACACCAGUGGCGAAGGCGGUUGCCUGGAGCUUUGCUGACGCUGAGGCGCGAAAGCGUGGGGAGCGAUCCGG
This 253-nucleotide ribosomal RNA is filed under the name uncultured bacterium. RNAcentral describes it as "partial 16S ribosomal RNA". It matches the Rfam family "Bacterial small subunit ribosomal RNA", at positions 524 to 776 of the family's 1533-position model. The record is from RNAcentral.